Molecule: long non-coding RNA, 1361 nt
Organism: Phymastichus coffea
Lineage: Eukaryota; Metazoa; Arthropoda; Insecta; Hymenoptera; Eulophidae
Exons: 4
Source: RefSeq, a predicted model, not a curated record
GUGGCGCCCUUGCCGCUCGAUCAGCCGUCGCCGUCAGCUGGCAGCAUUCAUCGUCAAGCUCGUUGCCAGCCGCGAAAGCAGACGCUUACACCGAUAGCGGAUUUCGAUUAGCGGCAGGAAAAGCAAUUUAUUUCGAACGCGAACAGUCAAAUUCAGCAUUAGUGACCGAAAGUUGUAGUAAAGAACAGAUGUCGCAUAAUAACUCGCUUCGAGAUCAGGGCAAUUAAGAUCAUCGGGCGGUGGCAAAGAGCCGAAAACAAUAAAACCAAAUGUUAAAAUGUGAAAGACGACUGGACUACUCAUUUUCUCCACGUGUCUAGCAACGGCCCGUCGGCAGAGGUAGAUGACGGGUAUUACCUUCUACAUCACGCUGUGAUCAAAGAAUUCAGCGAAACCACUAAGGUACGAGUUGUCUUCGAUAAAUCGUCCAAAAUUUCCACUGGGAUAAGACCUAAAUCAGAUAAGACAUUAGUUCAUUAUGAAGAUAUAUUUUAUUUAUAUUAAAUGAAUCAAUCUGGACAAGAGGUCUUCUGCAAGAAACAUCCAUCAAGGAUGAAUAAAAAAAGACACUCAUAAUCUGGUGACUGCAAGGGUGAGUGCCAGUAAAGCUUCAUUUGCUUCAUGAAAAUCUGAGUCUGCAAAUAGUACUUCUUAAGAAUUCUGUUUUUCUAUAAUGGAGCAUUAGUUUAUGUGUGGGACACGAGAAUAAAAAAAUCAUCAUCGGAAUGCCCUGGCUAUUGACUUCCAUGCAACUUUGAUGCAUCAAGUUUUAGGGAGUUCUUGUAAUAAUUUGCAAGAUUCGGUUGGAAAAAAAUAUUCUGCUAUUAAGUUAUCAAUCAAGUAAAUAUGUAGGAAACAUUUAUAAACAUUACAUUUAAAAAUGGGAAAUUUGAGAGAUUUUACAACUAACAAAGAAACAAUACACUUUUGUACACAUUUGUUUAAUCCUCCUAUAUUUACUGCAUCAUUUAGACAAGUCGAAGAUGGAGUUUUAUGUGGUAAUGGCAUAUUGAAAGAAAUUAAUGGUUUAGGAUGGUGCACAGUUUUAAAAAAAUGUAUUUACAAUUGAGCUGUGUAUCAUAGCACACAUUAUACUCGAGUGAAAAAAAUAGACGACACUAUUGUUCUUCUAAAUGACGGUAACUUUGGAAGAAUGUUAAAUAUUAUAGAUAAUAAUACUGUAUGUUUUUUGGAAUUAUGUAUUGUCAAAGUAUUCUUAGACCUUCCUUUUUUUGGAAUUUCACACAUUAAAAAAAUUAAAUCUGAGAACGAAGAUAAUAAAAUCGUUGUUUCAAUAUCUAUAAUGUUUCAACUAAAGCAUUGAUUGUCGAUGUUCGCAAAAUGCACGGUACUUAUGUACA